Molecule: ribosomal RNA, 399 nt
Filed under: Listeria monocytogenes
Lineage: Bacteria; Bacillati; Bacillota; Bacilli; Caryophanales; Listeriaceae
Description: bacterial LSU rRNA
Rfam family: Bacterial large subunit ribosomal RNA
Source: RNAcentral
AGUAAAUUGGUUAAGUUAGAAAGGGCGCACGGUGGAUGCCUUGGCACUAGGAGCCGAAGAAGGACGGGACUAACACCGAUAUGCUUUGGGGAGCUGUACGUAAGCGUUGAUCCAGAGAUUUCCGAAUGGGGGAACCCACUAUCUUUAGUCGGAUAGUAUCCUUACGUGAAUACAUAGCGUAAGGAAGGCAGACCCAGGGAACUGAAACAUCUAAGUACCUGGAGGAAGAGAAAGAAAAAUCGAUUUCCUGAGUAGCGGCGAGCGAAACGGAAAGAGCCCAAACCAAGAAGCUUGCUUCUUGGGGUUGUAGGACACUCUAUACGGAGUUACAAAAGAAAGUUAUAAAUGAAGCGGUCUGGAAAGGCCCGCCAAAGACGGUAACAGCCCGGUAGUUGAAAU